GAAUUCUGUAGGAUAUCCAGGCAACAAAGAUGAGGAAAGUGACUAUGAGAUGAUUCAUAUUUUGAAUCGAAAGAGGUAGUACAAUUUCAAAUAGAAAAUUUAUAUGAACUGCAAAAUGGGGAAUGAAUCUUCAAGUUAAAACAUGGAAGUAGUCUCCAAUUUUGACAAAUUAUGUUGAACAUAAGAAAUAGGAAGUAAUUCAUUUAAGUAGUCUAGCAUUCUAAUUGUACUUGCAACCCAAAAAUGGAUUAAAAAUCCAUUCCUCAUCUUUGUGCCUCACUGACUGUGGUGUUUUUCUAAACUAUAGCAGAAGACUAUUAUGAGCACUCAACAAAAACAAAGAGAGAGAGUUCUAAUAUCAGAAUCCAAUUCUAGCAAUACUAGUCAAACACAUAUCAAAUUAGAGGCAAAAAAGCCCAUUCAAUAAGCUCUAUAUAGAACAAGUACAGAAUCCGUUAAACAUAUAUAAAGGAACAUAGGAAAAAAAAUGUUGAAUCCAACCAGAGUUUCUUCCCACAGGUGGUGGUACAUAAUUGAAUUGAGUGGUAUCUCUGAUACUUCAUCUUCAGUUUGAUCAUCAUCCAUGGACCAUGGCUGGUUGUGAUUCACGUAGAUAAGUGAAGUUCUUUAAUCAAUGCUGAGAAUUAGGAGAAGAAGAGGAUGGCCUAUCUGAAACAACACUUUGCUCUUCCUCCCCUUGAAUUCGUGCUGGAAUGCUAAAACCUGGCAAUCCCUCCGAUGCAAACCUGCUGCCAAAAAUAAAAGACUGAUGAAUUUCCUGUGUUCUAUGGUGGUCUGAGGAUGCCAUAGUAAGAUCAUUCCAAGCACGAAUAGAUUGUGCAAAACUGGACUGAAGGGGUCCCCUCUGAGAGAAUGCUGAGUCUUGGCCUAGCAAUGCUUGUUGUGGUGGCAUUUGUGGUGGAUUGAAUGCAAAACCGCCACCGGUUCUAUUCUCAGUACUUGUGUUAUUGCUCCAAGCCACCAUUCUCUGGAAAUUAGCUUCAUAUCCCACUGGAGCUGAGCCUGCAAAAAGGUUCUGAUCAUUUGAAGGUGCAUGGCUUGUGUCUGCCUGUGAUUGCCCACGAAUUAGACCUUGGUCUUGGAAACAAUGAAGGGACAGGCCAAGAUCUUCAGUAUGGUUUGUGGUUCUUGUGAUAAUAUCAGGUGGAUAGCCCUGAAAGUUCAUUGAUGAGGUUGUGGAGCUUGUGGGGAACAAAGAUUUCAUGGUAUCAGGAAUGGCACCAGGGUCUAUAGGAGGUGUAAUGAAGGAGGAAUCAUUACUUGGAUUAUCGGCCAAUUGUCUUUGGAGCUGAAAACUAUAACCAGAAGACUCUGAUUGCUCUGCAAUUGCCAUUUCACUAGACCCAGCAUUCUGGUCUGCCUCCAUGGUUCCAUUAGUAUUAUUAGCUAUUGGGUGCCAUGGUGGAAGCUCAGCAAGCUUGUCAAUUGCAGACUUGGCCUUCUUAAUGAGCCAAUCAACAGCUUUGCUUGGUCGGUCAUAGCCUAACCGGUCUUGAACAUCAUAGAAUUGUAUUGCAGUAUGGGCAGAUAGCCGAACCCUGCGGUCCCUAGGACCUUUAGCGGUGUAAACCUUGCUGUGUCGAUCUUUACGCCCAGUAGACCUAACAAUGUGGCCUCCUUGGACUUGAACAAUUUCUCCUUCAGCUCGUUUCAUUCCUGUUCCUUGUCUAGAUUUUGCAUAUUCUAUAGUCUGGUCUGAAGUUCGUCUGCCGGGAGCUACUUCUGCUGCUCGGCUGGAACGUAUCACCUCCACAUAUUGCUGCUGGUUUUGGAGAAGCUGAGGAUGUUGGUAAAGGGUUUGUUGUGUGUCUAGGUUUUGUUCUUGAUUUUCUUGUGAACUAGGAUGUAUAAUUUGGUAGGUAGGAUUCUGUGGGUGCAGUUGAUAUUUCUGGAAAUCCAGAUUUCGCUUUUCUUGAAGUUCUUGAUGUUCUUCAAAGCUCACUUCUUUUGCUUUCCUCUUACUCUUUGGUGCUGGUUUUUGCUAUUUCUUGAUGCUCUUCGAUCAUCUGCUGCUGUCACAAAACCUUAAAGCUGAUACUCCUGCAAUUGCUAAUCCCAAAAACCCCUGCAACCCUGCCAUUGCCGUCUUCAGAUUCCACACACCAAUCCAAACCGCAAAGUCCAAAAUCCACACCAUGCAAGAAAUAUAAACCCACUAAAACAAGUUUCCAUUUUUAAGAGAAAAGAAAAGGUAGUGACCAACUCAUCUAUCUCCUUCUCCACAGAUGUCAGAGUGAAAAUGGAUUAGAAUGGUGGGUCUCUCUAUGCGGGCUAAAAAUUUUGCAAGAAAAAUGAAAUAGAGCAAAUGGAAAAUUGUGCUGAUAUUCAUUAAGAAAAGAGGAAAACUGAAGUAAAUAUGUUAGACACCAUAACUGAAACUUAGAAAGAAUUAGGAAAACUCACUAAACAUGCUUUGCCUUUGACAUAACAACUGUGAAAAUUCGCUCCUCAACGGUCUUCUUGAAUGCUUUCAACAUGCUGUCUCGAUAAGCCUAGUUUGAGGAUACAACAAAAUCAAAGGUUGAAAACAUUAUAAGAAAAUAACCCACAUCAAACGAGAGCAAGUACUUGAGAGAUUAUUAUCCCACUAUCCAGAAGUAGAGGAGAAAUAUCAGAUUUUUUAUAGAUUCCAUAAGUAAUCAUUGCAAUAUAAGAGCAGAUUUGUAGGAUAUGAAAAAGAAAUCCGUUGAACAAUACCUAAGCACCCACUACUUCAAACAAGGUGAAAGGUAAAGGGAAAGGUUUUGAAGCUGUAAAUAUGAGAGGAAGAAAUAUCCUAACUUUACUCAUAGAGAGCCGCUUGAUGCCUUUGCAAAGGGUAGCAGAGUUUGAUCAGAGGAUAUUAAAGAUAUUUUGUUAUCUUAGCCCAACAAGAAACAAAUGUAACAGUAACCCCAACUUUAUCUAGUUACCUCUCCUUAAAACUCAACUCUAUUCUUCUCUCUCUCAGUUACUACUCUUUUUUUCUUUUUCUUUCUCAAAAGGAAAAUUAUGAUUCUUAAAUCUUAAUUAGAACUGUUGGUGAUGAGUUAUGAUUAGAGUCGUGGUUGAUAAAAGGUGACUCAAAUGACCACUUCUCCUACCCACACCUCUUGAAGCUUUAAUAAUG
RNAcentral lists this unclassified non-coding RNA (3130 nucleotides) under Hevea brasiliensis (rubber tree). The record is from RNAcentral. Lineage: Eukaryota; Viridiplantae; Streptophyta; Magnoliopsida; Malpighiales; Euphorbiaceae.